AUGAACGCUGGCGGCGUGCCUAAUACAUGCAAGUCGAGCGAACGGACGAGAAGCUUGCUUCUCUGAUGUUAGCGGCGGACGGGUGAGUAACACGUGGAUAACCUACCUAUAAGACUGGGAUAACUUCGGGAAACCGGAGCUAAUACCGGAUGAUAUUUUGAACCGCAUGGUUCAAAAGUGAAAGACGGUCUUGCUGUCACUUAUAGAUGGAUCCGCGCUGCAUUAGCUAGUUGGUAAGGUAACGGCUUACCAAGGCAACGAUGCAUAGCCGACCUGAGAGGGUGAUCGGCCACACUGGAACUGAGACACGGUCCAGACUCCUACGGGAGGCAGCAGUAGGGAAUCUUCCGCAAUGGGCGAAAGCCUGACGGAGCAACGCCGCGUGAGUGAUGAAGGUCUUCGGAUCGUAAGACUCUGUUAUUAGGGAAGAACAUAUGUGUAAGUAACUGUGCACAUCUUGACGGUACCUAAUCAGAAAGCCACGGCUAACUACGUG
This 496-nucleotide ribosomal RNA is filed under the name uncultured bacterium. Its description in RNAcentral is "partial 16S ribosomal RNA". It matches the Rfam family "Bacterial small subunit ribosomal RNA", at positions 29 to 507 of the family's 1533-position model. The record is from RNAcentral.